This 23-nucleotide small nuclear RNA is filed under the name Arabidopsis thaliana (thale cress). RNAcentral describes it as "snRNA_07977". The record is from RNAcentral. Lineage: Eukaryota; Viridiplantae; Streptophyta; Magnoliopsida; Brassicales; Brassicaceae.
AUUUGACGAUGCCUUAGUAUCAG